Hippocampus comes (tiger tail seahorse) is the source of this 199-nucleotide long non-coding RNA. RefSeq lists it as uncharacterized. The transcript is spliced from 2 exons. Lineage: Eukaryota; Metazoa; Chordata; Actinopteri; Syngnathiformes; Syngnathidae. The record is from RefSeq and is a predicted model, not a curated record.
UUCCUUAACUUGUCCCGUGCAGGCUUUUCCACGCUGCCAAGGCGAUCGAACAAGCGGGAAUGAUGAUGAAAGAGCAGAAGAAGAUGCCAGAGGCCAUCCAGUACAUCGAGAAGGCGUGCAUGAUGUACAUGGAGAACGGGACGCCUGACACCGCCGCCAUGGCGCUGGACCGCGCUGGGAAGUCAGUAUGAAACGCACU